Molecule: long non-coding RNA, 932 nt
Filed under: Olea europaea subsp. europaea
Lineage: Eukaryota; Viridiplantae; Streptophyta; Magnoliopsida; Lamiales; Oleaceae
Source: RNAcentral
UUCUAAACUCCUACCCAAACCAGAACUGCCUUUCGAGGCCAUUCGUUAAGAAAUUUUUAGAGUCUAAAUGGGUACUGAAACUUACGGGUUUGGAAGUGUUUCCUAGCCGGAAAUGGUGCAAGAUCGCCGGAAAUAUCGCUCUCUCUCUCGCCGGAGUUGCUUGUAGAACACCGGAAAUCGCCGGAGAAAAUUUUGUUUUUUCGUAUGGCAAAGGUAGAAACUCUGAUAAGCCCCCAAAGUUCACCUUUUAUAGGAAAGACAAAUCCAAUCUCCACCGUUGAAUUCAAAAACGAUCAAUCUAAACCGUUCGUUGUAUUCUCGAUCCCAGCCGUUGAAAUGAAACGCCAGAUUUGAUCUACGCCCAAGAUGUCGCUGUGGCUUUCACGCUAAAUUAAAACGCGUCGCCUCGGUUACCAACAGCCGUCAAUAAUAAUUACUGGCCGCAGCAGCCUUCUAGGGGAAUGGGCGUGGUACCCAACUGUCGCCUUGGAAACACGCAACAGUUGUCAAAUCAUUGGAAUUCUGGGUCGCCUCGGAUGAUCUCCUCCCCCAGUGGCUAAUCGCCUCGGGCGCUGCGUUCCCUCCUAUGCUUUACGAAGUUCGAGCCAUCUCCCCACGCGUCGACCCCCUUUUUUCGCCAACGCUUCGGCGAGAAACGAGUCCUCCAACUUUACAAAGCUUGGACGCACCCCGAUGCGAACGCCCCGUUUGCUAUCGCCUCGGUCGCUGCGUCCCCUCCCACGCUUUGCAAAGCUUGAGCCGUCUCCCUCUUCCUGCCAACGCUUCGGUGAAGACGAGUCCCUAAGAUUUUUAUGACGCUUUAACGUACCCGACGCGAGCGUACCACUGGCUCAUCGCCUCGGCUCUGCGUUCUUCCCAUGCUCUACAAAGUUUCAGCUACCCCCAUGCCGCGAUCCGGUCAGGAAAACAAA